AGGAUUAACGCUGGCGGCGUGCCUAACACAUGCAAGUCGAACGAGGUAGCAAUACCUAGUGGCAGACGGGUGAGUAGCGCGUGGUCAACCUACCGUUGAGUGGGGGAUAACUAGCCGAAAGGUUAGCUAAUACCGCAUACGUCUCCGAGGGGCAUCCCUUGGCGAUAAAAGGAGCAAUCCGCUCGAUGACGGGACCGCGUCCCAUUAGCUAGUUGGUGGGGUAACGCCUACCAAGGCAUCGAUGGGUAGCUGGUUUGAGAGAGCGACCAACCACACUGGGACUGAGAUACGGCCCAGACUCCUACGGGAGGCAGCAGUGAGGAAUUUUCCGCAAUGGGCGAAAGCCUGACGGAGCGACGCCGCGUGUGGGAAGAAGGCCUUCGGGUCGUAAACCACUGUCGAAGGGGAAGAUAAUGACGGUACCCUUGGAGGAAGCCCCGGCUAACUACGUGCCAGCAGCCGC
RNAcentral lists this ribosomal RNA (463 nucleotides) under uncultured bacterium. Its description in RNAcentral is "SSU rRNA". It matches the Rfam family "Bacterial small subunit ribosomal RNA", at positions 26 to 518 of the family's 1533-position model. The record is from RNAcentral.